This 253-nucleotide ribosomal RNA is filed under the name uncultured bacterium. RNAcentral's name for it is "partial 16S ribosomal RNA". It matches the Rfam family "Bacterial small subunit ribosomal RNA", at positions 524 to 776 of the family's 1533-position model. The record is from RNAcentral.
UACGGAGGGUGCAAGCGUUAAUCGGAAUUACUGGGCGUAAAGGGUACGUAGGCGGUUACUUAAGUCGGAUGUGAAAGCCCCGGGCUUAACCUGGGAGGUGCAUCCGAUACUGGGUGACUAGAGUAUGGAAGAGGGUAGUGGAAUUCCGGGUGUAGCGGUGAAAUGCGUAGAUAUCCGGAGGAACACCAGUGGCGAAGGCGGCUGCCUGGUCCAAAACUGACGCUGAGGUACGAAAGCGUGGGGAGCAAACAGG